GGGCGGAGGAUCCAGUGCCGAAUGAAGCGUGACUUGAACAUUGCGGUUGAGCGAAACGGCCGGAUAGAAAACGCCGCAUAGGUCGACGAAUGCCACCGUACCCUAAAGAGAAAAAAGAAAAAUUAUCGACCGUUCCCGGCUCUUCGUUGACGAAGAAACUCAACUGACGCCGGUCGAGGUCGAGUAGGACACCAAUUGUAGAACCGACGUCGAUUCCGCCAUCGGUUCGAUGGCUGUGCACGUUAUUGUGUAGGAACCAGGACCGUUGAUGGUCAAUGUACAUGGACCAUCCUAAUUCGUCUUUGCCUGAUACCCAGCAUGGAAUCUCUUGCGACGUCUCGCCUAGCGACGCCAAAUGCUGGAUCGGCUGCUCCAUCGUAACGGUCGACGGUGAAUUCCCAGUAGUGGACGCCACGUGAGAAACCGACCGAACUAAGCAGAACACGCGGUUCGUAACUGUCGGUCGUGGCAGUUAGUCCGUCUGGCGAUAAACGAGUUUCUGCUGGAUAGGCUGUCAUAUCAAAUGUGGAAAUGGAACACCCUUGCGGAUAACAAUUAAAAAAUGUUUCACCUUCGGCCGUGUGAAGACCCAGCGAAUCGCUGUAGGGCCCUUCACCGCUGCUGUUGAAGGCUUUAACACGGGCGUUAUAAAGCGAAUUGAAAUGCAGGCCGUCCACCGUGCAGAUGGUUUCCUUGCCACAGUAAACCUCCUAGGUGAACAUAUCGCGUGAGAAAUUUUUAAUUAUAUUCCCAUUAGAAUAAUAACAUUUUUUGUUUUUCUUCGGUGUGGGACUUACGCGGAAACGGCCGGCGGCGACGCCUCCUCCAUCGUCCAGCUCGAGGACGUAACCUUCGACAAAGGAGGCCGGAUGCGGUUGCCAGGCUACGUGGACAUGAUCAUCUGGUGAGGAGAGGGAUCGUAACUCCAUUUCCCCGCAAUUGUCUAUUCACUCCCGUUUGAUCGUUUACUACGGCCGUAAGCCAGUCAAUCGGCAUGCGCCUGUGCGUGCGUGAUUCGCAUGUCAAGCUCCGUGUAAUUCGAUUGAGUCACGGCUAGACGUAAAGCUCCUUAGCUGACCGUUGUCUACCCGAAAAGACGAAUGACUUGCGGCGUUUUCCCUCCCAAAGACAAAGAAAAAGUUGCCUUUUUAAGACUCCAAUUUCAAGCGUGUACGUGUGUGACUGAAACUUUUGGCCGGCCCCUGUGGCAACCGUCCCGAUAAUUCUCUUUGGCCACGAAAAAAAAAAGAACGAAAUUUAAUAGAGUUCGCGAUUUCUCUUCAUCUAAGGCGAUAGCCUGACAUGGGGGAAUACACUGGCCAAAAUGGUAUCCAUCUUCAUCUAAUAAAGGCAGUGAAACGCGCCAGACAUGUUCCAAGAGAACUAUGCCUUUGCUUAGAACUUUGGGUGAAACUGUUGCGUGGGAUCGUGCGGUUCUCCAUUAAUCAUCGGCCAAUUCCCCGCAGCCGAGCGGGAAGUUUGUCAUUAAGCUGAAAAAGCCGAGCAGAACGAUGGAGGCCAUACUCUCCUCGUUUCCCAAUAAUCGCACAGAGCGAGAUAUUGCAUUUCUAAGAACGUGCGCUGUGCCCGCUGGAAAGUCAGUUGGUCAAUGUUGCGCCGAAGACCUAAAUCGUCCAACGUGAGCUCAAGUGUCGGACUAGCCCGAUUGGUCAAUUCGUCCAUUUCCUGUCGCCAUGUCAGAUCUAAAUUAGAGACGCGAUUGACUAGCAUCGACCCAAUCUGUAAAAUAAAGAGAGAAAAGAAAAACAAUCGAUAAAAGAUUUGAAAUAAAAUGCUUCGAUGCAGAAUUGAACGAGCGCCGUCGUGUGCUGCAGGUGGGCCGUGCAAGUGGCCACCUCUUCCCGCAAUCGUCGCAAUUGCAAGUCACGUUCACGCCGGGCAAAGUCCACCAGGGCUUCUUCCCUGCGUCGCAAUGCUUCCAUCAGUUCCAGACAUUGAACAUGGAUGGCCGAUUCGACGUUGGCACAACUCUCCUAGGAAAUAAAAAGAACACGGCAAAAUGGAUAGAACAUGAAAAUACCGACUUCAUUCAUCUUCCCGCCGACAGAUGGCCACCCGUCAUUUACCUGGACUCGUUCCGACGAGCUCUUCAAGCGAUGGAUCACCUCCGUCGCACUUUUGGCUUUCUCCGACAGCUGUUGCAACGAUUGCGUCAACUCGGCCUGAAAUAAAUCAGAUAAGCGCCAAUAGAUGGACGUCGUGAUUUUGAUGACGACCGGCAUCUGAUAAAACGCACAAGUGGCAGGCUCCCAAUCGACAAGUGUUGCAAUAAUAAGAUUGGACCUGAUCACUGUGUUCGCUGCAGUGUGGAACGGCAUCUGAAGACGACUGCUGUUGCUGUCGGGAAGGCAACAAACAAAAAGAAGCAUUGAAUCUUCUAGGUGGGGUGACGAUGAUGUGGCACGCUAUUUUGCUUCAUUGGAUGACGGCUGUGAGUGGAGAUAAGAGCGUAGGCUCCCGCUGCAAGUUGAAAACCAAUUAUAAAGAAAAAGUUUAAGACGACGAAAGAAGGUGUAUAUACCAGGUUUCCAAGACAACGACGAUUCCAUAUCGUCCCGAACAUUAGAACCACAGCAUAACCAUAACAGGAUAACGUACCAACUGUAAUAGAUCUAUAACAAGAAGCGACUAUUCAAAACGCGGGAAUGGCGAUCGCGAGAGAACUAGUGGCUCCAGGUGAAGGGGUGUUCCGGCAGUGAAUAAUAUUACGACCGAUUUCACCCAUUCCGUAGUCGAAAACAAAGUCCUCUAUUAGACUUCCGUCAGCACCAAGAGCUUGAGCACGGACCCCAGCUGGCCCUCUGCAAAAUAGAAAUAAAAGUGCUCUUUUACAGCUAAACCAACGAAGGCGGAUCGGACUAUUUCUUGAACUCCGAACGAAGCAUAUUUCAAUGCUAAUUUCUGGAAACCACGAUAACUCAACGAAUCGGCAAGGUCUCCUAUACCUGUAUCCUUCACGCUUCAAAGCUAAUACAGCAUUAGGCCCUAGCCAAACAGAUCCAUCUAUUCUUGGGGUAAAGUGGACACCGAGGAAUGGGAAACGAGGAUCAGAUGCCCUACCGGGUAGAUAUUUCCUUUCACUAAAUGUGAUUUCGCAGGAUUGAGCAAAAGAUAUUCACCACGGAAAGGCACAAUGCGUGGCUCCCUCGAGCAGCCUGAAAGUUCUGCCAAACGAUCCGAUUGCAGGCCACCACAAGUUAAGACGUACCGGCAGCGUACAGAUUGCUAAAGAGUAAGUUUCACUUCCGAUUUACUAAUUGCUACAAGCAUAAUUGAAGAACACCUUACCCCAUUGCUUGCUGUGACUUGUAUGCCUUUUUUAUUUGCUGCCACCGCCUUGACUUUACUUUCUUGGGCAACUUUGAAAUCCUUAACUUCAAAGUUGAGAUGAAUUUCACCUCCUAGUGAUUUGAAAUCCUCGCCAUAAUAUUGGGUGACUAAACCCCAGUCCACGAUUCCGGUAUGUGGCGACCACACCGCUUUCAGACCCUAACAAUAGGAUAAACAAUGUAACACUAGCUGAACCAAAGAUGAUGAAAAAUCAUACUUUGUAUGUACCUGACAGUAGGGUUCUAUUUCUUUGAUUUUUGCUCCGUCAACCAUUUGAAUAUCUGGGACACCGUUCUUAAUUCCGCGGUUGUAGAGAUCCUCCAGCCUUGGCAACUCCUCUUUGGCAACAGCUACAAUAAGCUUGCCACAUUUUUUGUAGGGAAUCCCUUUCUCGUCAAAAUACUUGUAGGACAGGUGGAGGCCUUCAACACACAGUUUUGCUUUCAGCGAACCAGGUUUAUAAUAAAUCCCACCAUGUAUCACUCCACUAUUGUGCCCACUUUGAUGUGCAGCUGAAAUUAAACAGAAACAUCUAUUCAUAAAUUCAAAAUCAUUAUCCACCUUAUGUUAACAUCUUGAAAUGGGUCAAAUUUCAUGUUCAUUAGAGGCAUGAACUGAAAUAACAGGAUAUACAAAUUACCCAAACGGUUUUCUUUUUCAAGAACUGCAAAUUUUAAAUUUGGGUGUCUCAUUAACAUCUCCCUUGCAGCUGCCAUCCCAACAAUUCCACCACCAACAAUAACAACAUCAUAUUCUGGCUCCGUUCUUGAUUACAAAAAGAGGCAAUUAGCAUCUGAUUAUCUGUUGAAUGUUUAGAGCAAAAUGCACCACAUUUCAUUACUUAAUCUUUUAAAAUAGAGAUAUUGUUACCCUUGAGAUGAAAAUUUUCUAUUUAUAGCCGAUGACGAAGCUGGAAAACAAACUGCAUUUUGAACAUUUUGGUGGUUUCUCGAAAACGAAGUACAUUUGCGUGCAUUUCGGAAAACGUUGUGCAUUGUGGUAAUCUUCGACAAGUUGUUCGUUCGUCUUGUGUGUUACGUGAGAUGACGGUUUAUGUAAUGUUUGUUGUCGUGCUGAGGGUCAGGUCGACGAGUACAAGAGCCGGCAAGGGCAACAACAAGGUUGAACGUUGGUUCAGCUUACACAGUUCCACCACACUCCAAAAGGUGGCCUUCAUUUAUUUCAAAAAAGAAAUCACACUGCCAUCACAUGCUGAGCAGUUCUUUGAAUUUGUAAUCUCGUCCUUGAGUUGAUCUUUGAUUGUUUUCCGGUUUGAAAUCAAAUAAAACUAAUUCGUAAAAUCUUUGCGAUAACGUGACCUAGAUAAAGCUUAUAACAGCUGUAAAGGAAAACCAUGUAUUUUUCGAUUGGCUCCAAACUCGGGUAAGACACUCUUUCAUCUGUUUGGGUUCAUGAAUUUCUGAUCCAUAUGAGCACAGACUACGAAGUCUGUGAUAUGAGUAAGCAACGAUAAACGAACGUAAUAGUUAAAACAAAAAC
This 4851-nucleotide long non-coding RNA is filed under the name Daphnia magna. RNAcentral describes it as "uncharacterized LOC116928442, transcript variant X1". Lineage: Eukaryota; Metazoa; Arthropoda; Branchiopoda; Diplostraca; Daphniidae. The record is from RNAcentral.